RNAcentral lists this ribosomal RNA (255 nucleotides) under uncultured bacterium. RNAcentral's name for it is "partial 16S ribosomal RNA". It matches the Rfam family "Bacterial small subunit ribosomal RNA", at positions 524 to 777 of the family's 1533-position model. The record is from RNAcentral.
GACGUAGGGCGCGAGCGUUUGUCCGGAUUUAUUGGGCGUAAAGAGCUCGUAGGCGGCUUGUCGCGUCGACUGUGAAAACCCGCGGCUCAACUGCGGGCCUGCAGCCGAUACGGGCAGGCUAGAGUUCGGUAGGGGAGACUGGAAUUCCUGGUGUAGCGGUGAAAUGCGCAGAUAUCAGGUGGAACACCGAUGGCGAAGGCGGCAUCCUGGACCAACACUGACGCUGAGGAGCGAAAGCCAGGGGAGCAAACGGGG